This 207-nucleotide ribosomal RNA is filed under the name uncultured bacterium. RNAcentral's name for it is "partial 16S ribosomal RNA". It matches the Rfam family "Bacterial small subunit ribosomal RNA", at positions 568 to 774 of the family's 1533-position model. The record is from RNAcentral.
UACGUAGGCGGCCUAGCAGGUGGGGUGUGAAAUCCCUCGGCUCAACCGAGGAACUGCGCUCCAAACCGUUAGGCUUGAGGGAGACAGGGGUGAUGGGAACUGUUGGUGGAGCGGUGAAAUGCGUUGAUAUCAACAGGAACACCGGUGGCGAAAGCGCAUCACUGGGUCUCUUCUGACGCUGAGGUACGAAAGCUAGGGUAGCGAACG